CGCGCAGGCGGUCGUUCAAGUCGCGUGUGAAAGCCCCCGGCUCAACUGGGGAGGGUCACGCGAUACUGAUCGACUCGAAGGCAGGAGAGGAAGUGGAAUUCCCGGUGUAGUGGUGAAAUAGCGUAGAUAUCGGGAGGAACACCAGUGGCGAAGGCGACUUCCUGGCCUGUUCUUGACGCUGAGGCGCGAAAGCUAGGGGAGCAAACG
RNAcentral lists this ribosomal RNA (207 nucleotides) under uncultured bacterium. RNAcentral describes it as "partial 16S ribosomal RNA". It matches the Rfam family "Bacterial small subunit ribosomal RNA", at positions 568 to 774 of the family's 1533-position model. The record is from RNAcentral.